This 300-nucleotide ribosomal RNA is filed under the name uncultured Oleiphilaceae bacterium. RNAcentral describes it as "bacterial SSU rRNA". It matches the Rfam family "Bacterial small subunit ribosomal RNA", at positions 114 to 421 of the family's 1533-position model. Lineage: Bacteria; Pseudomonadati; Pseudomonadota; Gammaproteobacteria; Oceanospirillales; Oleiphilaceae. The record is from RNAcentral.
CGCGUAGGAAUCUACCCAGUAGAGGGGGAUAGCCCGGGGAAACCCGGAUUAAUACCGCAUAAUCUCUAAGGAGAAAAGGGGGACCUUCGGCUCUCGCUAUUGGAUGAGCCUGCGUGGGAUUAGCUAGUUGGUGAGGUAAAGGCUCACCAAGGCGACGAUCUCUAGCUGGUCUGAGAGGAUGAUCAGUCACACUGGAACUGAGACACGGUCCAGACUCCUACGGGAGGCAGCAGUGGGGAAUAUUGCACAAUGGGCGCAAGCCUGAUGCAGCCAUGCCGCGUGUGUGAAGAAGGCCUUCGG